RNAcentral lists this long non-coding RNA (209 nucleotides) under Elaeis guineensis (African oil palm). RNAcentral describes it as "long non-coding RNA (EGUI_LNC008564)". The record is from RNAcentral. Lineage: Eukaryota; Viridiplantae; Streptophyta; Magnoliopsida; Arecales; Arecaceae.
ACGGCAGUCUAAAAAAGGCAUAUCAAGUGCUCAUGCAUCCAGUUGAUGUAAGCAGGACUCCCACUUGGGGUUCCAAAAAAUGUCAUUUUGUUUCAUGUCAUUUCCAUCCGUCCAAGCAUCAGUAACUCCAUAAAUCUUGAAACUUAAAGUGUCCAUGUCACCCUGGCUUGAUUCUAAGGUUAUGGAGAGUGGACAGGACCAAAUUCCUU